UACGUAGGGGGCGAGCGUUAUCCGGAUUUAUUGGGCGUAAAGGGUGCGUAGGCGGUUUGUUAAGUCUAAAAUUAAAGCCUGGGGCUUAACCCCAGUUCGUUUUAGAAACUGGCAGACUUGAGUAUGGUAGAGGCAAAUGGAAUUUCUAGUGUAGCGGUUAAAUGCGUAGAUAUUAGAAGGAACACCAGUGGCGAAGGCGAUUUGCUGGGCCAUUACUGACGCUGAGGCUCGAAAGCGUGGGGAGCAAAUAGG
Molecule: ribosomal RNA, 252 nt
Filed under: uncultured bacterium
Lineage: Bacteria
Description: partial 16S ribosomal RNA
Rfam family: Bacterial small subunit ribosomal RNA
Source: RNAcentral